Molecule: long non-coding RNA, 732 nt
Organism: Cyprinus carpio carpio
Lineage: Eukaryota; Metazoa; Chordata; Actinopteri; Cypriniformes; Cyprinidae
Source: Ensembl
AUUUCAAUAAAUGUGCAAUUAUUUGUCAAUUGUUUCUCAGUUACAUUUUUAACAUUUCAAAUGAGGAAUAUAAUCUCACAUCAAUGGUAUCACAAAGUUAGCUGUUGAACAAAUCAAACCAGAAUUGAGUUUAUUAAAUUCAUUCACAAUAUGUGCACUCACAAAUAUUUGGUUUAGCUACAUAUAUUUUGCAUUUCAUAACUGAGGAGUCAAGUUUUUUUUUUUUUUUUAACAUUUAGUGCCUGUGAACAUAAACCCUGUCUACUUUGAUUUGAUUGGCCAUCACAAGCACUUUGACAUUGAUGAGCGCUGUAAGACCGCUGAGACAUCUCAUAUGAGAAGAUCUAUCUUGGCUUUGUAUCCUUGCAGCACCAGAGCAGAAUUGAUAUAUGGCCACCCCGAUAAUGAGAUGGGAUUCAAACCAGCGAAGUGAAAUCCCUGUGAUGCCCAGUGAUGAGAGGGCAGACAGGAGGAUCUGAUGAUUCAGUGUCAAAAGCAGCAGACAGAUCCAGCAGAAUGAGAAUGAUGAUUUGGAAUCAGCUUUCGCAAUCCUCAAGUGUUUGCGCUAUGACUGGAAGGAGAGAGAUAGUUAAAGUAUCUGCAGUAUGUUUUCAACAAGCAGAAACUCGCAUGUGAGGCCCGUUGGCCAGUAAUAGAAUCAGAGAGCAAUGUGUGUUGUCUGGAGAGGACGCAUGGAUGAAGACAGAGGAUCUGCUCCAUUACCAGGGGAAU